Molecule: ribosomal RNA, 565 nt
Filed under: Basidiomycota sp. KUC8401
Lineage: Eukaryota; Fungi; Basidiomycota
Also listed under: 1 other name
Description: eukaryotic LSU rRNA
Rfam family: Eukaryotic large subunit ribosomal RNA
Source: RNAcentral
UAACAAGGAUUCCCCUAGUAACGGCGAGUGAAGCGGGAAGAGCUCAAAUUUGUAAUCUGGCUGUUCUGCAGUCCGAGUUGUAAUCUCGAGAAGCGUUAUCCGUGCCGGACCGCAUACAAGUCUGUUGGAAUACAGUUUCAUAGAGGGUGAGAAUCCCGUUCAUGAUGCGGAUGCCCGGUGCUCUGUGUUGCGCUUUCAAAGAGUCGAGUUGUUUGGGAAUGCAGCUCAAAUGGGUGGUAAAUUCCAUCUAAAGCUAAAUAUUGGGGAGAGACCGAUAGCGAACAAGUACCGUGAGGGAAAGAUGAAAAGCACUUUGGAAAGAGAGUUAAACAGUACGUGAAAUUGUUGAAAGGGAAACGCUUGAAGUCAGACGUGCAGUUUGGGAUUCAUCCUCUGGUGUAUUUCCUGUCUGCAGGCCAGCGUCAGUUUUGAGGGUCGGAUAAGGGUUUGGGGAAGGUGGCACCUCCGGGUGUGUUAUAGCCCCUUGCUGGAUACGGCUUUUGGGACUGAGGGAUGCAGCACGCCCUUGUGGCCGGGGCUUCGGCCCUGUCGUGCUUAGGAUGCU